AACAAUUGGUCCCUCACCGUGGCUACCUUGGUGUGAAUCAUCUGUGGAGAGUGACGACCAAACACUACCAAACCGGACUGUUCCACUUCGUUCACGGCACCCCGUCAUUCCGUGACACUAACCGGUCCAGGCCAAGAGAGCCUCUCCUCCACCGAGCCGUGUGGAGACACAAGGCAGUGGCCGGCGCUCAUGACCAUUGCACCUGAAUCAUCACCGGCUUGCAAUGGAUGCUUGUCAUUCAUGUCCACGUCGGAAACGGAGCGCGCGACGUUGCCGCUGCAGCCAGCGCCUCAACCCUCC
This 300-nucleotide long non-coding RNA is filed under the name Phaseolus vulgaris (common bean). RNAcentral describes it as "long non-coding RNA (PVUL_LNC001511)". The record is from RNAcentral. Lineage: Eukaryota; Viridiplantae; Streptophyta; Magnoliopsida; Fabales; Fabaceae.